Oncorhynchus keta (chum salmon) is the source of this 300-nucleotide long non-coding RNA. RefSeq lists it as uncharacterized. The transcript has 3 exons. Lineage: Eukaryota; Metazoa; Chordata; Actinopteri; Salmoniformes; Salmonidae. The record is from RefSeq and is a predicted model, not a curated record.
CAGGACCCAGGUUAGAGACGCACCCUAAUACUGACCCUGAAACAUACAUCAUCCCCACUGCCUCAGGACCCAGGUUAGAGACGCACCCUAAUACUGACCCUGAAACAUACAUCAUCCCCACUGCCUCAGGACCCAGGUUAGAGACACACCCUAAUACUGACCCUGAAACAUACAUCAUCCCCACUGCCUCAGGACCCAGGUUAGAGACGCACCCUAAUACUGACCCUGAAACAUACAUCAUCCCCACUGCCUCAGGACCCAGGUUAGAGACGCACCCUAAUACUGACCCUGAAACAUACA